RNAcentral lists this transfer RNA (95 nucleotides) under Enterococcus phage 113. RNAcentral's name for it is "tRNA-OTHER". The record is from RNAcentral. Lineage: Duplodnaviria; Heunggongvirae; Uroviricota; Caudoviricetes; Herelleviridae.
ACGGAAGUGGCGUGUAGGGCAUACGCAACGGAUACCGUGGAGACAAUAAGUGCACUAAAACUCCUAUAUCGCAGGUUCGAAUCCUGUCUUCCGUA